GCCGGUGGUUUGGCUAAGGGGAUCCACCUGUUCCCAUCCCGAACACAGAAGUUAAGCCCUUAUACGCCGACAGUACUGGAUUGGAGACGAUCUGGGAGGAUAGGUAGCUGCCGGCU
This 116-nucleotide ribosomal RNA is filed under the name Christensenellaceae bacterium OttesenSCG-928-M15. The record is from RNAcentral. Lineage: Bacteria; Bacillati; Bacillota; Clostridia; Christensenellales; Christensenellaceae.